Molecule: unclassified non-coding RNA, 216 nt
Filed under: uncultured fungus
Lineage: Eukaryota; Fungi
Description: sequence contains ITS1, 5.8S rRNA gene
Source: RNAcentral
CCGAAACAAAAACUAAAACAAGGCUCACCGCACUGCUUCGGCGGUCGGUGAAUCCCUUAUAGCUGGCUCAACUUGAGUUCAUGGUUGCAGACUGGCUCAAAAACGACGAGUCUUUCUUGCUCCGAAAGGGGCGAGGAAGCACCGUUAAAAUUUUGUAAACAAGCAAUAGCUACAAAUUUUGGAAACAAGCAAUAAAAUGAAACAAAAGACGAAUAA